GAGUUUGAUCCUGGCUCAGAACGAACGCUGGCGGCGCGCCUAACACAUGCAAGUCGAGCGGUUAAAGCUCCUUCAGGAGUGUAUAAAGCGGCGGACGGGUGAGUAAGGCAUAGGUGACCUGCCCUGAAGAGGGGGAUAGCCUGAGGAAACUCGGGUUAAUACCGCGUAAGCUACCCAAGUGAAUAUUGGUUAGUAAAGGCUUCGGCCGCUUUAGGAUGGGCCUAUGUAUGAUUAGCUAGUUGGUAAGGUAAAAGCUUACCAAGGCUACGAUCAUUAGCUGGUCUGAGAGGAUGAUCAGCCACACUGGAACUGAGACACGGUCCAGACUCCUACGGGAGGCAGCAGUGAGGAAUUUUGCGCAAUGGGGGAAACCCUGACGCAGCGACGCCGCGUGGAGGAUGAAGUCUUUCGGGAUGUAAACUCCUGUCAGUGGGGAUGAUAGUGACAGUACCCACAGAGGAAGCACCGGCUAACUCCGUGCCAGCAGCCGCGGUAAGACGGAGGGUGCGAGCGUUGUUCGGAAUUACUGGGCGUAAAGCGUACGUAGGCGGUUGGUUAAGUCAAAUGUUAAAGCCCGGAGCUCAACUCCGUGGUCGCAUUUGAUACUGGCUAACUAGAGGGUGGCAGAGGAAAGCGGAAUUCCCAGUGUAGCGGUGAAAUGCGUAGAUAUUGGGAGGAACAUCAGUUGCGAAGGCGGCUUUCUGGACCAUUCCUGACGCUGAGGUACGAAAGCGUGGGUAGCAAACAGGAUUAGAUACCCUGGUAGUCCACGCUGUAAACGAUGGAUACUAGGUGUAGCGGGUAUCGACCCCUGCUGUGCCGUAGCUAACGCGUUAAGUAUCCCGCCUGGGGAGUACGCACGCAAGUGUGAAACUCAAAGGAAUGACGG
Molecule: ribosomal RNA, 889 nt
Filed under: uncultured bacterium
Lineage: Bacteria
Description: bacterial SSU rRNA
Rfam family: Bacterial small subunit ribosomal RNA
Source: RNAcentral